UGGGGGAUAUUGCACAAUGGGGGAAACCCUGAUGCAGCGACGCCGCGUGGAGGAAGAAGGUUUUCGGAUUGUAAACUCCUGUCGUUAGGGACGAUAAUGACGGUACCUAACAAGAAAGCACCGGCUAACUACGUGCCAGCAGCCGCGGUAAAACGUAGGGUGCAAGCGUUGUCCGGAAUUACUGGGUGUAAAGGGAGCGCAGGCGGGAAGACAAGUUGGAAGUGAAAACCAUGGGCUCAACCCAUGAAUUGCUUUCAAAACUGUUUUUCUUGAGUAGUGCAGAGGUAGAUGGAAUUCCCGGUGUAGCGGUGGAAUGCGUAGAUAUCGGGAGGAACACCAGUGGCGAAGGCGGUCUACUGGGCACCAACUGACGCUGAGGCUCGAAAGCAUGGGUAGCAAACAGGAUUAGAUACCCUGGUAGUCCAUGCCGUAAACGAUGAUUACUAGGUGUUGGGGGAUUGACCCCCUCAGUGCCGCAGUUAACACAAUAAGUAAUCCACCUGGGGAGUACGACCGCAAGGUUGAAACUCAAAGGAAUUGACGGGGGCCCGCACAAGCAGUGGAGUAUGUGGUUUAAUUCGAAGCAACGCGAAGAACCUUACCAGGUCUUGACAUCCGAUGCAUAGCACAGAGAUGUGUGAAAUCCUUCGGGACAUCGAGACAGGUGGUGCAUGGUUGUCGUCAGCUCGUGUCGUGAGAUGUUGGGUUAAGUCCCGCAACGAGCGCAACCCUUAUUGCCAGUUACUACGUUAAGAGGACUCUGGCGAGACUGCCGUUGACAAAACGGAGGAAGGUGGGGAUGACGUCAAAUCAUCAUGCCCUUUAUGACCUGGGCUACACACGUACUACAAUGGCGUUAAACAAAGAGAAGCAAGACCGCGAAGUGGAGCAAAACUCAAAAACAACGUCUCAGUUCAGAUUGCAGGCUGCAACUCGCCUGCAUGAAGUCGGAAUUGCUAGUAAUCGCGGAUCAGCAUGCCGCGGUGAAUACGUUCCC
This 997-nucleotide ribosomal RNA is filed under the name uncultured organism. RNAcentral's name for it is "bacterial SSU rRNA". It matches the Rfam family "Bacterial small subunit ribosomal RNA", at positions 355 to 1375 of the family's 1533-position model. The record is from RNAcentral.